GAUGAACGCUGGCGGCGUGCCUAAUACAUGCAAGUCGAGCGAACAGACGAGGAGCUUGCUCCUCUGACGUUAGCGGCGGACGGGUGAGUAACACGUGGAUAACCUACCUAUAAGACUGGGAUAACUUCGGGAAACCGGAGCUAAUACCGGAUAAUAUAUUGAACCGCAUGGUUCAAUAGUGAAAGACGGUUUUGCUGUCACUUAUAGAUGGAUCCGCGCCGCAUUAGCUAGUUGGUAAGGUAACGGCCUACCAAGGCAACGAUGCGUAGCCGACCUGAGAGGGUGGACGGUCACACUGGGACUGAGACACGGCCCAGACUCCUACGGGAGGCAGCAGUGGGGAAUAUUGCACAAUGGGCGCAAGCCUGAUGCAGCGACGCCGCGUGAGGGAUGGAGGCCUUCGGGUUGUGAACCUCUUUCGCCAGUGAAGCAGGCCUGCCUCGUUUGUGGGUGGGUUGACGGUAGCUGGAUAAGAAGCGCCGGCUAACUACGUG
Molecule: ribosomal RNA, 494 nt
Filed under: uncultured bacterium
Lineage: Bacteria
Description: partial 16S ribosomal RNA
Rfam family: Bacterial small subunit ribosomal RNA
Source: RNAcentral